Molecule: unclassified non-coding RNA, 358 nt
Filed under: Hevea brasiliensis (rubber tree)
Lineage: Eukaryota; Viridiplantae; Streptophyta; Magnoliopsida; Malpighiales; Euphorbiaceae
Source: RNAcentral
GACAAACACACAUGCGUAUAUAUUUUCUUUCUGACAAAAUUUUGUUUGGAUAAAAAGAAUUGUCCCUUUACAAACAAGCUUACAACAACAGGACAAAUGGAUAGUGAGGGAUGGCCUACAAUCCAUCCAUUGCCAAAUAUCAAAAAAAAUUUUAAAUGAGUCGCAGCAGCAGGCAUAGAUGAAGGUUGCGUCACCAAAUAAUAAAAAAGACCAUCAAAAUCUUUCUCGUCCACGUUUGGUCGGUCCAGCAACUGCAAUGGCGGAACUAUUCAAUGACCAAUGGGGGAAUACUUGGUCAAAUUUUUUUUCUUAAAUUUAUUAAAUAAUUGCUCAAAUUUAUUAAAAAAAUUAAAUUAUU